This 245-nucleotide ribosomal RNA is filed under the name uncultured bacterium. RNAcentral's name for it is "partial 16S ribosomal RNA". It matches the Rfam family "Bacterial small subunit ribosomal RNA", at positions 524 to 768 of the family's 1533-position model. The record is from RNAcentral.
UACGUAGGGGGCGAGCGUUGUCCGAAGUUACUGGGCGUAAAGAGCGCGUAGGCUGGUCUUUAAGUGAGUGGUGAAAGGUUCGGGCUCAACCCGGACACUGCCUUUCAUACUGGGGACCUUGAGUGUGGGAGAGGCGAGUGGAAUGGUCGGUGUAGCGGUGAAAUGCGUAGAUAUCGAUCGGAACACCCAUGGCGAAGGCAGCUCGCUGGCCUAACACUGACGCUGAGGCGCGAAAGCGUGGGGAG